RNAcentral lists this ribosomal RNA (465 nucleotides) under uncultured bacterium. RNAcentral describes it as "partial 16S ribosomal RNA". It matches the Rfam family "Bacterial small subunit ribosomal RNA", at positions 28 to 507 of the family's 1533-position model. The record is from RNAcentral.
GAUGAACGCUGGCGGCGUGCUUAACACAUGCAAGUCGAACGGACAGGCUCCUGCUUGCAGGGGUACUCGAGUGGCGAACGGGUGAGUAACACGUGGGUGAUCUGCCCUUCACUUCGGGAUAAGCCUUGGAAACUGGGUCUAAUACCGGAUAGGACGAUGUUUUGGAUGCCAUUGUGGAAAGUUUUUCGGUGUGGGAUGAGCUCGCGGCCUAUCAGCUUGUUGGUGGGGUAAUGGCUUACCAAGGCGUCGACGGGUCGCCGGCAUGAGAGGGUGUACGGCCACAUUGGGACUGAGAUACGGCCCAGAAUGCUACGGGAGGCAGCAGUGGGGAAUAUUGCGCAAUGAGGGCAAGCCUGAUGCAGCGACGCCGCGUGGGGGAUGACGGCCUUCUGGUUGUAAACUUCUUUCGCUAGGGACGAAGAGCAAGUGACGGUACCUGGAGAAGAAGCACCGGCUAACUACGUG